AUAUUCGCGAAGUCUCUGAGGCUGAGGCAGUGGCGUAAGGGGCGCGGAGCGCUGCCGAGAUGUGGGCUGCGUGCGUAAAGCCGGAGAGCCCUUUUGAGUCUGCGUUGGUGUGGCUGCUGCUUCUUGCUCCAGUCCCUUUGUUCGCUGAGUCGAUAUCCCAUGCUCCAGUUGUAUCAUCCCCUUUUCUCCCGACCUCGUUUUCUCACCGGGAAUAUGGGAAGAAAACGCACCUUUACCUCCCCGGAGCCCUGUGCGUGGCGAGUGAGCAUUGCUUUUCUUGGCGCCCCUUGGAGCUGUGGCUGCCCUCGCGUGCCUGGCCUCUCCAGGGGCCGGGCCCGUCGGGUUGAGGCCUGGCGCCCCCGGGCGCAGUGCCGGGACACUACCCAAUUCCAGGUCCUCGGCUUCGGCAGCCUUAGGGAACCCAGAGAGUAGUGGGGAGGAGGCGAGACUUGCGCCCUGAUGCGAAAGGAGAGCUUCAUUCAGCUCCUUAUUGGCCCACCCCCUGCAGAGUGAAUGAGAAGGGGAUGAAAGGAAGGGGUUGAUUGUCUUUCUUUGUACCGCACACAAGAAGCAGCUUUUCCCAUAGGAAUGUCCCGCUGGCGGUCACCGAGGAAAACACCCUGUGUGUCAGACUUCCGCGGGUGUUUGGAGGAUUUCAAAAUGCUGGCUCCUGGGUGGUUUUGUUUUGUUUUGUUUUUUAAGUGCACGUUAAACAUUGUCAGUUGUGUAUUUUCAUUUUAUUUAGGGUCAACCAUAAUAAAUAGGAUUAGGCUUUUCAAAGCCGGCAAGUUGAACUUUGUAUACUUCUCAGGUAAUGUGUUGAUGGGUACCUUAUUCCAUCGGUUGCGACACUGUGGCUACACUAAAAUGGAGUCAUACUUCCAUAAACUUAAACAACAAAAAUGUCCCCAUCUCCAUUUUAACAUGUAGUACUUUCACAGUGUAUAGUCAAAGGCAAGAAUGUGUGUGUUUUAACAUGAAUGACUUUUAAAGAAAGUGUUCAGUAAGAGGCAGGAUUUUCAAAGACCCAAACUUAACCUUUGAUGUGUCAAAACAGCUCUUGGUAUUAGAGCACCUGGUCCUUAAUACAAUUUUCAGGAAAAUUGCAGUUUUUCCUGCGACAUUUAAACGUGAUAACAGAAGGCUGUGGUGUGGCUCUACAGGUUUCUAAUACAAUUCCAGCAUCUGUAGAUCUUUGCUAUAGAAUAAAGUCAGCAUUCCCCACCUUACUGUUACUACACUUACUGCUAUUAAAUCAAUUUUACUUGAACUUUAAAACUUGGAAGAGAUAUUCUAAAAAUAUAUAUAUAUAUUUUGGGGUGGUGGUGGUGGUGUAAGUUUUGUUUUAAAUACAAGAGGUUUCACUUUGUAAUUUUUUGGACCCUUCUAGCUUCAUGAUAACACCAGAAUAAUGUUUCUUUAUAAUUUCUGUAGGGCUUUAAGGUUUGGAAAAAUGAAUUUAGUAUAUGUGAUAUUUUGACAUAACUGGUUUACAUUCCAUAUAUCUGAUAAUGAACGAAUACAUUAGUUUACUAGGAAGAACAAUAGUUUUUUUCAAAUUGAAAUCUAUUAAGUGAGGGAAAUAAACAUUGAAACUUUCUAAAGUUUCCAUCACAUCAUGGAUAUAUGAAAAUUCAAUAGCACUUUGGGAGGCCAAGGUGGAAGGAUCCCUUGAGCCCAGGAGUUGGAGACCAAUCAGGGCAACAUAGGGAAACCCCCCUUCCCCCGUCUCUAAAAUUUAAAAGUUAAAAAAAGAUCCGGAUGUGGUGACAUGCAUUUGUAGUAUCAGCUACUUGGGAGGCUGACAUGGGCAAAUCCCUUAAGCCCAGAACUUUGAGGCUGCAAUGAGCCGUGAUCACGCCACUGCACUCCAGCCAGGGCAAUAGAGUGAGACCCUGUCUCAAAAAAAAAAAAAAAAAAA
Molecule: long non-coding RNA, 1921 nt
Organism: Macaca mulatta (Rhesus monkey)
Lineage: Eukaryota; Metazoa; Chordata; Mammalia; Primates; Cercopithecidae
Source: Ensembl